AUCUGGGCUCAAUCUCGUGUGGCGGACGGAAGUCAGGUCAGCCUUCAGGAUAGCCAUCCCUCCGAUCUGACAAGUUCAUUGUACGACAGGACUGAUGUGUACCCUCAGGUCCACUCUCAAGAAAAGAGCCAUGAUGAGUUCUACACUGACUCAACAAAC
Molecule: long non-coding RNA, 159 nt
Organism: Sinocyclocheilus anshuiensis
Lineage: Eukaryota; Metazoa; Chordata; Actinopteri; Cypriniformes; Cyprinidae
Exons: 3
Source: RefSeq, a predicted model, not a curated record